RNAcentral lists this ribosomal RNA (200 nucleotides) under uncultured bacterium. RNAcentral describes it as "partial 16S ribosomal RNA". It matches the Rfam family "Bacterial small subunit ribosomal RNA", at positions 30 to 232 of the family's 1533-position model. The record is from RNAcentral.
AUUGAACGCUGGCGGCAUGCUUUACACAUGCAAGUCGAACGGUAACAGGCCGCAAGGUGCUGACGAGUGGCGAACGGGUGAGUAAUGCAUCGGAACGUGCCCAGUCGUGGGGGAUAACGCAGCGAAAGCUGCGCUAAUACCGCAUACGAUCUGUGGAUGAAAGCGGGGGACCGUAAGGCCUCGCGCGAUUGGAGCGGCCG